RNAcentral lists this ribosomal RNA (490 nucleotides) under uncultured bacterium. RNAcentral's name for it is "partial 16S ribosomal RNA". It matches the Rfam family "Bacterial small subunit ribosomal RNA", at positions 30 to 507 of the family's 1533-position model. The record is from RNAcentral.
AUUGAACGCUGGCGGCAUGCUUUACACAUGCAAGUCGGACGGCAGCACAGAGAAGCUUGCUUCUUGGGUGGCGAGUGGCGAACGGGUGAGUAAUAUAUCGGAACGUACCGAGUAAUGGGGGAUAACUAAUCGAAAGAUUAGCUAAUACCGCAUAUUCUCUGAGGAGGAAAGCAGGGGACCUUCGGGCCUUGCGUUAUUCGAGCGGCCGAUAUCUGAUUAGCUAGUUGGUGGGGUAAAGGCCUACCAAGGCGACGAUCAGUAGCGGGUCUGAGAGGAUGAUCAGCCACACUGGAACUGAGACACGGCCCAGACUCCUACGGGAGGCAGCAGUGGGGAAUUUUGGACAAUGGGCGCAAGCCUGAUCCAGCCAUGCCGCGUGUCUGAAGAAGGCCUUCGGGUUGUAAAGGACUUUUGUCAGGGAAGAAAAGGAUGUUGCUAAUAUCGACAGCUGAUGACGGUACCUGAAGAAUAAGCACCGGCUAACUACGUG